AACGCUAGCUACAGGCUUAACACAUGCAAGUCGAGGGGAAACGAUAUUGGAAGCUUGCUUCCGAUAGGCGUCGACCGGCGCACGGGUGAGUAACGCGUAUCCAACCUGCCCAUCACUUGGGAAUAACCUUGCGAAAGUAAGACUAAUGCCCAAUGACAUUUAUAGAAGGCAUCUGAAAUGAAUUAAAGAUUUAUCGGUGAUGGAUGGGGAUGCGUCUGAUUAGCUUGUUGGCGGGGUAACGGCCCACCAAGGCGACGAUCAGUAGGGGUUCUGAGAGGAAGGUCCCCCACAUUGGAACUGAGACACGGUCCAAACUCCUACGGGAGGCAGCAGUGAGGAAUAUUGGUCAAUGGGCGAGAGCCUGAACCAGCCAAGUAGCGUGCAGGAAGACGGCCCUAUGGGUUGUAAACUGCUUUUAUAAGGGAAUAAAGUGAGUCUCGUGAGACUUUUUGCAUGUACCUUAUGAAUAAGGACCGGCUAAUUCCGUGCCAGCAGCCGCGGUAAUACGGAAGGUCCGGGCGUUAUCCGGAUUUAUUGGGUUUAAAGGGAGCGUAGGCCGUCUGUUAAGCGUGUUGUGAAAUGUAGACGCUCAACGUCUGCACUGCAGCGCGAACUGGUUUCCUUGAGUACGCACAAAGUGGGCGGAAUUCGUGGUGUAGCGGUGAAAUGCUUAGAUAUCACGAAGAACUCCGAUUG
RNAcentral lists this ribosomal RNA (696 nucleotides) under uncultured bacterium. RNAcentral's name for it is "bacterial SSU rRNA". It matches the Rfam family "Bacterial small subunit ribosomal RNA", at positions 32 to 715 of the family's 1533-position model. The record is from RNAcentral.